RNAcentral lists this ribosomal RNA (448 nucleotides) under uncultured bacterium. RNAcentral describes it as "bacterial SSU rRNA". It matches the Rfam family "Bacterial small subunit ribosomal RNA", at positions 330 to 793 of the family's 1533-position model. The record is from RNAcentral.
UCCAGACUCCUACGGGAGGCAGCAGUGGGGAAUAUUGGGCAAUGGGCGCAAGCCUGACCCAGCAACGCCGCGUGAAGGAAGAAGGCUUUCGGGUUGUAAACUUCUUUUGACAGGGAAGAGCAGAAGACGGUACCUGUCGAAUAAGCCACGGCUAACUACGUGCCAGCAGCCGCGGUAAUACGAAGGGGGCAAGCGUUGUUCGGAAUUACUGGGCGUAAAGGGAGUGUAGGCGGUUUAGUAAGAUAGUGGUGAAAUCCCAGAGCUUAACUUUGGAAUUGCCAUUAUAACUAUUAGACUAGAAUUACAGAGAGGAUAGUGGAAUACCCAGUGUAGAGGUGAAAUUCGUAGAUAUUGGGUAGAACACCAGUGGCGAAGGCGACUAUCUGGCUGUACAUUGACGCUGAGGCUCGAAAGCAUGGGGAUCAAACAGGAUUAGAUACCCGGGUAA